CCCAGACUCCUACGGGAGGCAGCAGUGAGGAAUAUUGGUCAAUGGGCUUACGCCUGAACCAGCCAAGUCGCGUGAGGGAAGACUGCCCUAUGGGUUGUAAACCUCUUUUGUCAGGGAGCAACGCCGGCUACGUGUAGCCGGACUGAGAGUACCUGAAGAAAAAGCAUCGGCUAACUCCGUGCCAGCAGCCGCGGUAAUGCGGAGGAUGCGAGCGUUAUCCGGAUUUAUUGGGUUUAAAGGGUGCGUAGGUGGUUAAUUAAGUCAGCGGUGAAAGUUUGUGGCUCAACCAUAAAAUUGCCGUUGAAACUGGUUGACUUGAGUAUAUUUGAGGUAGGCGGAAUGCGUGGUGUAGCGGUGAAAUGCAUAGAUAUCACGCAGAACUCCGAUUGCGAAGGCAGCAUACCGGCGCCCAACUGACGCUGAAGCACGAAAGCGUGGGUAUCGAACAGGAUUAGAUACCCCUGUA
Molecule: ribosomal RNA, 466 nt
Filed under: uncultured bacterium
Lineage: Bacteria
Description: bacterial SSU rRNA
Rfam family: Bacterial small subunit ribosomal RNA
Source: RNAcentral